AAGCGGGAAACGCGCCCCAAGAUGAGACUUCCCGGAGACUCGAUCUCCCUGAAGGGUCGGGAUAGACCAUCCCGUUGAUAGGCCGGAUGUGCACACGCAGUAAUGCGCUCAGCUAACCGGUACUAAUCGCCCGUGCGGCUUGACCCCAUAGCA
Molecule: ribosomal RNA, 153 nt
Filed under: Rhodocyclales bacterium CG17_big_fil_post_rev_8_21_14_2_50_68_7
Lineage: Bacteria; Pseudomonadati; Pseudomonadota; Betaproteobacteria; Rhodocyclales
Description: partial 23S ribosomal RNA
Rfam family: Bacterial large subunit ribosomal RNA
Source: RNAcentral